Molecule: long non-coding RNA, 144 nt
Organism: Telopea speciosissima
Lineage: Eukaryota; Viridiplantae; Streptophyta; Magnoliopsida; Proteales; Proteaceae
Exons: 3
Source: RefSeq, a predicted model, not a curated record
UACUGUUUUAAGGACUACAUAGUCAGCCUUGUCAUUUACAUUGUGCCUAAGGGCUGGACAACCAGCUUACUAUGUUCUUUAGUAGUUGGAGUUAACUGCAUAAUGUUGCUGUUCACUCCAUCUAUAUUCGCAUUAUAGAAAAUU